This 232-nucleotide unclassified non-coding RNA is filed under the name Hevea brasiliensis (rubber tree). Lineage: Eukaryota; Viridiplantae; Streptophyta; Magnoliopsida; Malpighiales; Euphorbiaceae. The record is from RNAcentral.
AGAGCUUGGCAACCUCGCGCACGGAGGCUUCCUUAGCUUCGACGCCGAGAUCCUCCGCCAUCAUUUUCGCAGAAGAAUUAGAGAAUAAUGUGAUAAUGUUAAUUGCUCUUUAGAAGGAACUUCUAAUUAGAAAUGAAAAUGCAAAAUUCAGUGCAAAAUUAUUUGUACGGAAACAAUACGUAGCUUGAAUUUGAGAAGCGUAACGAUCGGGCCGGUUCGAUUCGAAUGUAGA